GAUGAACGCUAGCGGCAGGCCUAAUACAUGCAGGCCGGACGGCAAGGUCUGUAGCAAUACAGGCCCUAGAGUGGCGCAAGGGUGCGUAACACGUAUGCAACCUGCCCACGGCCCGGGGAUAGCCCCCGAAAGGGGAUUAACACCCGAUAGAUACCAAUGGUGGCAUCACUGAUGGUUUAAGCUACGGGGCCGUGGAUGGGCAUGCGUCCGAUUAGCUAGUUGGUGGGGUAACGGCCCACCAAGGCGAUGAUCGGUAGGGGUUCUGAGAGGAAGGUCCCCCACACUGGCACUGAGACACGGGCCAGACUCCUACGGGAGGCAGCAGUAGGGAAUAUUGGUCAAUGGGCGGAAGCCUGAACCAGCCAUCCCGCGUGCAGGAAGACGGCCCUAUGGGUUGUAAACUGCUUUUCCAGGGGGAGAAACUUUCCGAUGCAUCGGGAUUUGACGGUACCCUGGGAAUAAGCAUCGGCUAACUCCGUG
Molecule: ribosomal RNA, 480 nt
Filed under: uncultured bacterium
Lineage: Bacteria
Description: bacterial SSU rRNA
Rfam family: Bacterial small subunit ribosomal RNA
Source: RNAcentral